AAUGGCCUACUCCUGCACCUAUUUUCUAUGUUUCUAUUUUAAGAGCUUGCCUGCACCAUUCAGUAUGAGUGGCUGCUAGGAACUGUAAUGUCCUGCAGAUCGAUGCUGUAAGUAGAUCUAAUAAACAUGUGUUGUAUCUUGAUUUGUGUUUGACUCCACUCAUUACAUGGUGUCAGAGAGUGAGUCUUACCUACUCCGUUCACGUUUAUCGGGUUUUGUUUUUUUAAUUAGUUUAUGUGCCAGUUAUCUCUAUCAUGGCAAAUUCAUCUCGCCGUCCUAGUCCUCUGAUCUUUGACCCUGACAUUGCUGAACGCUGGCAUCUUUUCGAGCGUGACUACACUCACUAUGUUCGCAUCGUUCAUCGCAACGACCCCCCCGAUGUGCGUGCUUCUGUAUUGCUCAACCUAGUGGGACCUGAGGUAAUGAAUCGUGCCGACAAUGUUACAUUUGAGCCUGCCGUUUUGGAUGCUAAUGGACAGGUCCUAGUGCCUGCAGAGA
Molecule: long non-coding RNA, 498 nt
Organism: Amblyraja radiata (thorny skate)
Lineage: Eukaryota; Metazoa; Chordata; Chondrichthyes; Rajiformes; Rajidae
Exons: 3
Source: RefSeq, a predicted model, not a curated record